GACGAACGCUGGCGGCGUGCUUAACACAUGCAAGUCGAACGAUGAAGUUAUGACGGAGGCUUCGGCCGACAGAAUAACGGAAUAGUGGCGAACGGGUGAGUAACACGUGGGAAAUCUGCCUAGGAGUGGGGGAUAACAUUCGGAAACGGAUGCUAAUACCGCAUANCUUUUUGAACCGCAUGGUUCUUAAACGAAAGACGGCUUCGGCUGUCGCUCUUAGAUGAUCCCGCGGCGUAUUAGUUAGUUGGUGGGGUAAAGGCCUACCAAGACGACGAUCAGUAGCCGGACUGAGAGGUUGAACGGCCACAUUGGAACCUGAGAGACGGUCCAGACUCCUACGGGAGGCAGCAGUGGGGAAUAUUGGGCAAUGGGCGAAAGCCUGACCCAGCGACGCCGCGUGAGGGAAGAAGGGUCUUCGGAUUGUAAACCUUAGUCAACAGGGAAGAAGAAAGUGACGGUACCUGUGGAGGAAGCACGGCUAACACGUG
RNAcentral lists this ribosomal RNA (488 nucleotides) under uncultured bacterium. RNAcentral's name for it is "bacterial SSU rRNA". It matches the Rfam family "Bacterial small subunit ribosomal RNA", at positions 28 to 507 of the family's 1533-position model. The record is from RNAcentral.